CGUUAAUCACUGGACCACUGCAAAUUAAGAAAAAAAUAGAUCGUUCAGCAAGGAUCAUAAAUUUUAAAACAAUGGCUGAAUUAUAGUAGCUUACUCUUUAAGUUGCAAAUGAACCAAGAUUUUCCGAGAAGCUGAGUCAUCCUUGAUGCACAAAACCGGACGCUGAUGGAGAGGAUUCCCAUCAACCAGCUUAAGGUGGCCGACAACAUCUACAACACAAAGUUAGACUCAUUGUUAAUUAAACGGUUACAAACAAUCAAUAGAGAAGCUGUAAUGGGUGAACCUUUGUAAGAAAACAUCUACAUCUUACCGUGAAGAUCUCCUCUGAGAUCGCAGUUUGCUUCAAAAUCUGCAAAGGAAUGGAUUCUGAAGCGCUCUGUCAAAAUGGCUUCAAUGUCUUCUUCCACCUUCCUCAGCUCAGAGGCAUGUGAGAUGCAAAUUACCAGCCUCUGGUCAGCAACAUGGUACAUCACCUUGUUGUUCGAUGCAUAGUAGUUUGUCAGUGUGUAGAUCAUCCCACGCUUAAGCUCUUUCUCGUAUUGGUUGCGACGGUUCUGACCAAUGAACCCCUGAGCCACAGUACCCUGCAUAACAUAGAGUCAAUAUUGGGUCAGUCGAAUAUCUAAAAGUAUUGGGUCAGUCGUAUACCUAUCACAGAUACGCUAGUCUGAUUUCAAGCUGAUAAAUAAUUUUUUUUUACAAAGAUAGUUGCGGUGAGUUAGCAAAACAACAAAACAGGAUUGAUAAAACAGUUUAAGUUCUGAUAAAGACACGCUCAUUUGAACAUGAAGACAAUUCAAAGAUACACAAAUAGGAAUUGUAACCAAUCAAUCAGGUUAUUUAAAAACAUAUACGCCUAUACAAUUUCAGCUCAAACCAGUUGAUCAUUUUAUUUUUCAAAGAUCCUACUAAAGGGCUUAAUUUCAUCUCAAAUCAAUCAAUUAAGUUUUUACCAAGAUACGCCUAUAUAAUUUCAUCUCUACACAACUGAUCAAUUUAUUUGCUUAAAAAUACGCUUGAGACCGGAACCAACCAAUCAAGUUUUCUAUCAACAGACGCCUAUAUAAUUAAAUCUCAAACCAACUGAUCUAUUUUUUUUUUUUUUUUUUUUAAAAACGCUACGCUUAAGACCAGAACCAACAAAUCAAGUUGUAUAGUACGAUACGCAUAUAUAAUUUCGUCUCAACACAACUGAUCAAUUUUUUUAAAUUUAAAAUACGCUUAAGACCUGAACCAACCAAUCAAGUUUUCUAUCAACAGACGCAUAUAUAAUUUCAUAGCAAACCAAUCAAUUAAGUUUUGAUCAACAUACGCCUAUAUAUUUACAUCUCAACAUAGCUGAUUUAAUUUUUUUUUUAAAACACGCUUAAAUAAUCACGGUUCAGAAACGGAAACGACAUCCAAAAGGAAACAUGAAAACAUACCUCUGCGUCGAUCAGAAGGAGCUCGAUCCCAAGAAUGAUCCCUGGUCCUCCUUUGACAUUCUUGCGAGCAUCCCAGAAAUGAAGAAGCCGAAACUGCAUGGUGGAAUCUCCGGGUCCCGGUGAAACUUGUCGGAAGAGGAGGAGAGGAGAAGAUUCGCCGGUGCGGAUUGCGGCCUCUUUCGACAUGAUUACGAUUUAGAACUAACGAUCCGAUGAGAGAAAGAUAAGGGUAGGAUCUGAGGUAAAAGACAUGAGGAUAUAAAUAGGCAUCUAGAUAUAAGGCGGAGGGUGGGAGGUGGAAGGUCUGUAGGGAUCUUGAAUAGAGGCUUUAAGGGAGAACAUUGAAGUUCCAGCCCUUUCAUCGGAGGCGUUUUACGGGAAGAUUUGGGGAAGAGAAAGUGAAUCGACAUGAGGGACAGAGAAAUGGGGAGCGGCGAUUAGGGUUGUCGAGAGGAGGAGAAAGCUUUCGAAGCUUUGGCUUCAGUCUCGCCAAUACGUAGAUUAGGAUAAAUAAAUGGGCUGGUCUGGGAGAAAUGAAUUAUCUGUUUGAUUUGGCUUGGGUUUCGCAGAUGGGUUAGUGGGCUGGGCUGUGAAAAGUGAAUUAUCUGAUUGAUUUGGCUUGAGCUGGAAACGAAAUAACGGAGUCGGAGAAUGAGGAUGCGCCCACAGAGCCCAAUCGUGAAUGAUGCGAUUUUAAUUUCAAACAGAAUCAGCCAGUGACGUGGCAAAAUCAGUGGCUGGGAAUAUUUUGACCUUGGGGAUAGCUUUAGGGAGCUUUAAAAUAGUCCCUAUUAUAUAGUGGGAUAAUAAUCUUAGGGGGAUAAGUGCGUAGCUUAAAAGGAUUAUGCUAUCCGCAACACAAAUUCAGUAGUUUGUUUUGUUUACUAUAUCGACCUGAGAAACAAUGCUAAACAAAAUCCAAACAGGCAAAGCAAGCAAGUGAAAAGUCUGUCCCCUUCCGUUCCCAAAAGUAAGAAAGGGAAUGGGGUCGUCGGAGGGAACAGUGAAGAACAUUCUGGAACAAGAAUCUCUAAAAUGGGUAUUCGUGGGAGGGAAAGGAGGUGUGGGGAAGACGACAUGCAGUUCGAUCCUACUGUUGAGACUGAAGACUUGGCUGGCCCUGAAGGGAUGGAUAGUUUAUUCUCUGAUUUGGCCAAUGCCAUCCCUGGAAUCGACGAGGCCAUGAGUUUUGCUCAAGUUGGUUCAAACAAUGGAUUAUGCAACCAUUGUCUUUGACACCGCUCCUACCGGUCACACUCUCCGUCUCUUACAGUUCCCCGCCACUCUUGAAAAGGGCCUUUCCAAAUUGAAGAGUCGCUUUGGUGGCUUGAUGAAUCAGAUGAGCCGUCUGUUUGGCAUGGAGGAUGAGCUUGGCGAGGAUGCUCUGCUGGGAAGACUCGAGGGCUUGAAAGAUGUCAUCCAACAUGUUAAUCGUCAAUUUAAAGACCCGGAUUUGACAACGUUCGUUUGUGUCUGCAUCCCUGAGUUCUUGUCUCUCUAUGAAACGGAGAGAUUAAUUAGUUUAGGAACUCGCAAAGUUUGAGAUCGACACGCAUAACAUCAUCAUCAACCAAGUACUAUAUGACGAUGAAGGUGGUGGUUGGUCACUCUUUCUUUGCAGAUUUUUCCCACUUAUCUUGUCGUUGGUUUUUUUGUCUAUUAUUAUUAUUAUUAUUAUUAUUAUUAUUAUUAUUAUUAUUAUUAUUAUUAUUAUCUAACUUGCCUACUAGAUGUGGAAUCCAAGGUUCUUAGAGCAAGGAUGACUUCAAUAUCACAAAACUUCCCCUGCUUCCCCAAGAGGUAAGAGAGAAACAUUAACUGAAUAACUAAAUCUUGAUCCGCGCAACCGCGCAGAUUUUUGUUUUCAUUUAUUUUUAUAUAAAUAUUUUGUUUUCAAUUCUAAAUUGAUAUAUAUUAUAAUAUAUAUAUGUGUCUAUCAAUUUUUAAAACAUAAUAAGUUUACUGUAUAUUUUUUCAUUGAAUAGAUUGUUUCAAACUUUCACAUGUAUUUGUAUCUUCUUCUCAGAGCCGACUCUAACCCAUGGCAACAUGGACAAUUGCCAUGGGUUCAUAGGUCCAAAAUUUUUUUUAUGUUAUUUUACUAAGAAGGUCUAUUUUUGUUUAUUAAAUAUCAAUUAGUUGGUGAAAUUAUAAUAAAAAACGUGUAUAAUUAAAUAAAUAUAAUUUAAAUACAAUAAGAACAAAAAAUUAACUUACACCAUUCUCAAAUUUUCUAUUAACAAAAAUCUAAUUUAUACACAAAAACACAUUUUUAUUUUUAUUUUCUUUGAAUACCACAAUUUUUUAUUUAGUUCAUGGAAAUGGAAUAAAUUAAAGUUUAGAAAAAACUUAUAAAAAGGUCUUUCUUUUAUAUUUCACCUUAGGUCAUUAAAUUUUUUAAGACGGCACUGCUUAUUCUAUAUAUAUAUAUA
Long non-coding RNA from Brassica napus (rape), 3856 nucleotides. RefSeq lists it as uncharacterized. Lineage: Eukaryota; Viridiplantae; Streptophyta; Magnoliopsida; Brassicales; Brassicaceae. The transcript has 3 exons. The record is from RefSeq and is a predicted model, not a curated record.